AUUUUAAAACCCACAUUCCCUUUCUUCCUCACGCAAUCCGAUGCCCCCCUCCCAAUUUCUUUUUCCUCCCGCCGCCUACCUUGACCAACAGCUGAUCUCCUCAGCUCGUCGUCCAAACGCCGCCGGUCCGACCCCAGCUGCUCGCUGCCGAGGUUUUACUCAGCUGACGCCCACCGUUCGGUAAGGCCCGACGGCGUUCGAAGCCCCCUCUUAGCAUGCUACGUUACGCCACUGACCGUCGAGCCGCCUGUCCCGUCAUCUAGCUUGAUCCGUCCAACCUAGGUUCGCUUCACCUCACCGUCAGAUCCGCGUCAUCACGUCGGAUCCGCUGCCUAACUGUCGGAUUUCUUCUGUCGCCGCCACCGUUGCUUGUGCCAGAAUCUUGGAGUCUUUGGAUUUGAGUGUUGGAAGAGUUUCAAGGUCGAAAGCGGAUCGUGCGGCGUUGCAAAAGUUGUUUCGGGUUGGUCAAUCAAACUUUUGGUUGUGGAUUUGAUCUUGGACCAAGUCACAACUUUGGGGAAUUAAUUCGAGAGUUACUUUGUUAGAGAUUAAUUGCUUGGGUUAAUUUUGGAUUUAAUUUGGAGGUAAGUAAUCUUACUACUGUAACUGCCCACGGGCCAGACAUUAGAUGUAUGCUAGCAUGAUAAAUAAAUGUUAUGACAGAAUGAUAGCAUGAUAGACCGAUAGUAUAAUAUGAUCAAAGUAUGUUCUGGUACGAGAUCUGAAUUAUUUAUGUAUGCACAUAGACACUUGAAUGCUAGUAUGAGAUGGUAUGUGCUUCCAUAUGGUUGUAUUUGAUAUGAUGAUGU
Benincasa hispida (wax gourd) is the source of this 809-nucleotide non-coding RNA. The record is from RefSeq and is a predicted model, not a curated record. Lineage: Eukaryota; Viridiplantae; Streptophyta; Magnoliopsida; Cucurbitales; Cucurbitaceae.